GAUGAACGCUGGCGGCGUGCCUAAUACAUGCAAGUCGAGCGAACAGACGAGAUUGCUUGCACUCUCUGACGUUAGCGGCGGACGGGUGAGUAACACGUGGGUAACCUACCUAUAAGACUGGGAUAACUUCGGGAAACCGGAGCUAAUACCGGAUAAUAUUUAGCUUCGCAUGAAGCAAUAGUGAAAGACGGUUCUGCUGUCUCUUAUAGAUGGACCCGCGGUGUAUUAGCUAGUUGGUGAGGUAACGGCUCACCAAGGCAACGAUACAUAGCCGACCUGAGAGGGUGAGCGGCCACACUGGGACUGAGACACGGCCCAGACUCCUACGGGAGGCAGCAGUAGGGAAUCUUCAGCAAUGGACGAAAGUCUGACGGAGCAAUGCCGCGUGAGUGAAGAAGGUUUUCGGAUCGUAAAACUCUGUUGUAAGGGAAGAACAAGUACGUUAGUAACUGAACGUACCUUGACGGUACCUGACCAGAAAGCCACGGCUAACUACGUG
RNAcentral lists this ribosomal RNA (499 nucleotides) under uncultured bacterium. RNAcentral describes it as "partial 16S ribosomal RNA". It matches the Rfam family "Bacterial small subunit ribosomal RNA", at positions 28 to 507 of the family's 1533-position model. The record is from RNAcentral.